Long non-coding RNA from Drosophila kikkawai, 474 nucleotides. RefSeq lists it as uncharacterized. NCBI's taxonomy places the organism in Eukaryota, Metazoa, Arthropoda, Insecta, Diptera, Drosophilidae. The record is from RefSeq and is a predicted model, not a curated record.
UUAAAGUUCAAUAGGGAUCGAAACAAAGUGAUUUCUUGCUCACCGCCAGAAUACCUAUAAGCAGGAUUACCGCGGCUGCGAUCAUCAAAGCAAUAUGAAAGACAAUGAACCAUUUGCAUCAUCGACUAUAAUGCCAGCAUUAAUAAAUCCGAAAAACAAGGUGUAGAAUGAAAUUACAAUGCAUCCAGUCUUUAUUUGCAUACAAAAGCAACAUUUGCGUCUGAUCAGUUUCCUGAACAAUGAUGGCAUCAAAAAUAUAAACACUUUUCUGGAGAACCCUUUGGAAUUCAAGACUGGCCUUUAGGUCAGUAAAGUUCAUCUCUCUGCACAAAGACCUCAUCCCUCCCUCAGAAACUUUGGCCGUACAAAACAGCAGCCGUUUAUAAAAUAAAGCUACCAAUUGACUGGCAAAACAAAGAUUGGCUUUUAUGAAAUAAUCUCUGAAAUAUACCAAAUUAUAGAUUAAAUUAUGAA